CAUGUGUAAGCGAAGCGAUAAGUGGAGCGGUGAAAGGCUCAGUAACGGGCGAUUUAUUUGAUCUCCUGGGACGGACAACAUCGGGAAACUGAUGGGAAAACGUCUAAGUUGCAGUUUUUUUUUGAUUGCGACGUAAACCUUUUGGUGCAGGAGAGUAAGAUGCCCUCCUAUCAGUUAGUAAGUAGGGUAAGGGCCUACUUAGACGAAGACGGGUACGGGGAAUGAGGGUUUGAUUCCGGAGAGGGAGCCUGAGAGAUGGCUACCAGGACCAAGGUCAGCAGCAGGCGCGAAAAUUAUCGAACCCCGCCUAGGGGCGAUAGUGAGGAGACGUGUAUAACGAAGUACGUGUAAAGACCGUACUAAUAACUGGAGGUCAAGUCUGGUGCC
Molecule: ribosomal RNA, 387 nt
Filed under: Dictyocoela roeselum
Lineage: Eukaryota; Fungi; Microsporidia
Description: SSU rRNA
Rfam family: Microsporidia small subunit ribosomal RNA
Source: RNAcentral